AACGAACGCUGGCGGCAUGCCUAACACAUGCAAGUCGAACGAGACCUUCGGGUCUAGUGGCGCACGGGUGCGUAACGCGUGGGAACCUGCCCUUAGGUUCGGAAUAACUCCCCGAAAGGGGUGCUAAUACCGGAUAAUGUCUUCGGACCAAAGAUUUAUCGCCUUUGGAUGGGCCCGCGUUGGAUUAGCUAGUUGGUAGGGUAAAAGCCUACCAAGGCGACGAUCCAUAGCUGGUCUGAGAGGAUGAUCAGCCACACUGGGACUGAGACACGGCCCAGACUCCUACGGGAGGCAGCAGUGGGGAAUAUUGGACAAUGGGCGAAAGCCUGAUCCAGCAAUGCCGCGUGAGUGAUGAAGGCCUUAGGGUUGUCAAGCUCUUUUACCCGGGAUGAUAAUGACAGUACCGGGAGAAUAAGCUCCGGCUAACUCCGUG
This 433-nucleotide ribosomal RNA is filed under the name uncultured bacterium. RNAcentral's name for it is "partial 16S ribosomal RNA". It matches the Rfam family "Bacterial small subunit ribosomal RNA", at positions 29 to 507 of the family's 1533-position model. The record is from RNAcentral.